Long non-coding RNA from Lepidothrix coronata (blue-crowned manakin), 581 nucleotides. RefSeq lists it as uncharacterized. The record is from RefSeq and is a predicted model, not a curated record. Lineage: Eukaryota; Metazoa; Chordata; Aves; Passeriformes; Pipridae. The transcript has 4 exons.
GUCAUCUGAUCGCGACAAGGGGCAGCUCGAGUGCCAACCCUUUUAAUAUUAUUUAUUUAUUUUAGCAUUAUUAUUAUUAUUAUUAUUAUUUUAAUAAAAUUGGACGAAAUGCGCACUGGAGGAAGCCCUGUGACCACAGGGGUGUGUGACGGGGCCGCGUGGGCCCGGCCCCGCAGGGGGAGGAAGCACUGCUGCUGCAAGAGGCUGACCCAGAGGGCGCGGGGUCGGUGCCGGCCGCGGCUCGUGGGGCUCACGGAAACAAUGCUCAUUUAAAUAAUGAACAAUUCAUCUAUGGAGCUUUUGAAGAGUGUAAAUAUAUUCAAAUGACAUAAAAAACGUCUGAAGUGGAAACUCUGAGGGUUAUUCAGAGCUCAUUCGCCCUCUCUGCCCCAUGCAGGGUUCUGCGUUUUCUAUUUCAAGAUUCCUUGGAUACUUGGCUGCACUGAGAACAUCAUUUCAAUGUUAGAGGAUCCACAGAAUAUUCUGAAUUGGAAGGCACCACAAGGAUCAUCAAAGCCCAACUCCUGGCCCUGCACAGCACAGCCCCAAGAAUCACAAAUUCUAGAAGCCAUGUUGGAAAC